UGCAGCAGCAUGCAACGAUUGCAACGGUCAGUGAUGCAGUUUUGUUAACCAGAGGAAAUAGGAUAAUUUUCUGCCCUUCGUGACCAGCUGAAGGCCUCUGAAGUGCACAAUACCAUCGCGACCAUUGCCCACCGAUGCCAUCCGAGUGUGAAUGGCCUGCGUUUGCGUCACGCUGGCCAAACGAAAUCGUAAGAAUUCUCGUCUCGCCCAAGCAAGAUUGAGAAAUCGUGACAUCCCAAAUUAUAUGGAGACGGCCCCGACUUAAAGCCCACUGAGUCCGCUGUUGAGGAACGGUCAAGAAUCAAAAUUGUUCUGAGAUGGCGAGUACGCGCCAGGUCGAAGAAGAAGGAGAAAGAGAAGGAGAAGUAAAAGCAGCUGAAAGAGAACAGCCUGUGAAGGAUCACCUGAUGCAGAGGGAGAAGAGGAGGCAUGUGAGGAAAAUGUUAAUUGUGGUUUUAUAUAUAUUAUUUUGAUACAUUUCCUAAUUUGUUCAACAACACUUGAGCUUGGUCGCUUUAUUUUUUAUUUUAUUUGGAAACCAGCAAGCAUAUUAAUUAGAAAAAAAUUAUCUGAUUUAUAGUGCUUUUAUCUAUUGUUUUGUUGAAACUGAACGAUCGUAAUGUAAUGCAGCUUAAUCUUUUACACACUUCAUCUGUCAUAAACCACACUCUGAGGAAAAAUUCUUACGGUGAGAAUCAAAAUGCGGCUCUCAAAUUGAGAACGCAAUUUUGAGUCUCACCGUGAGUAGCAGAGAGGUGGUCUGGCGCUUUUGGAUCUCACUUAUAUAUCUCACAGUGAAGCCAAAAAGCGGUCUGCCUUCUCGUACUCACGGUUAGAACUCGCUCGCUUCGGUAUCGACUGAGCGUUUCGAUCUCCCUGUGAGAUCCAAAAGCGUUUGGUCGCCUCUGCUAUUCACGGUGAGAUUUGUUCUCUCAAAUUGAGGGCGAAACUUUAAGUCUCACCGUGAAUAACAGAAGCGAGACUGAACGCUUUUUUAAAUUUCACAAUGAGAUCGAAAUUCUCGCUCUCAGUCGAUACCGGAGCGAGCGAGCAUUUGGGUUGUACCCUUGAGUACGAGAAGGCUGGCCGCUUUUUGACCUCAUUGUGAGAUAGAAGCGAGGAUCUGUGAGAUCCAAAAGCGCUAGACCACCUCUCUGCUACUCACGGUCAGACUCAAAAUUGCGUUCUCAAUUUGAGAGCCGCAUUUUGCUUCUCACCGUAAGGAUUUUCCCUCCGAGUGUAGUCUAUGACAGAAUCUGUUAUGCUCUUUUUGUAUGCGGAAACUGACGAAUUAGUGUUUAUGUGAAAUGAUUGAUGUACCAUAUUUUGGAAACCAAGGAAUUAAAA
Cloeon dipterum is the source of this 1347-nucleotide long non-coding RNA. RefSeq lists it as uncharacterized. NCBI's taxonomy places the organism in Eukaryota, Metazoa, Arthropoda, Insecta, Ephemeroptera, Baetidae. The transcript has 3 exons. The record is from RefSeq and is a predicted model, not a curated record.